Molecule: non-coding RNA, 187 nt
Filed under: Clostridia bacterium
Lineage: Bacteria; Bacillati; Bacillota; Clostridia
Description: 6S RNA
Rfam family: 6S / SsrS RNA
About the family: E. coli 6S RNA was the first non coding RNA to be sequenced, but its function was unknown until recently.
Source: RNAcentral
AUUUUCCUACCCUGUGCGUGUAUGUUAGCACUUAUAACCCUACAACCUUUAACUUGGGGUCUUAAUCUCGCGCGAGUGGUGAGCAGGCCUCCCGAUUUUUCGGAUGUUGGAAGCCCGAGCCGCGCGGAAGACACCCACCUGCUAUUUUGCAGGUUAUCAUGUGCCCUUACGGCAGGGUGGGAAGCCU